AUGAAGAAAUACACGCACAGACAGUGUGGUGGAGAGGUGGAGACCCCGCUGCUGACCGAGGAUGCUGAUGUGGGCCUGGAGUACGCGCCCUUUGAUGAUGACGACGGCCUGGUGGACUGUGACUCCCGGCCGCCUGCUACCAUGGCCACUGCAGGUACAGGACCAAGCACUGGUCUAGCAGUUCGGCAUCGCUCCCUCCCAAGAAAAAGAAGAAAAAGAAAGGCGGCCACGGGAGAAGCAGAGCCAGACUCACUGACCCGGCCCAUGUGUUACCAGCUCCCAAGGAAGGAGACCACUACUACUGCUGCUGCCCUCCUCCCCCUACCUUGCCUAGUUCACAAGACAGGAGUAAAGAGAAAGAAACAAAAGAUAAAUAGCCAGACAACCUUGGCACCACCACCCCGCCCUAGGAGUUAAACAAAGUAAUAAUAAUAACAUCAACCCCUGGCCUAAACUACUUGUGUUAUCUGUAAAUUCCAGACACUGUAUGAAAAAAGCAUUGUAAAACUUUGUUAGCUGAUGCAUGUAGCCCCCAGUCACAUUUCCCACGCUUGCUCGAUUUAUCACGACCCUUUCACAUGGACCCCUUAAAAGGCCUAGUAUUUAAAAAGGCCUAGUAUUUCUUUCUCGGGAAGCUGGGCUCUUAAGACGCGAGUCUGCGGACACUCCCGGCCAAAUAAAAAACCUCUUCC
Molecule: long non-coding RNA, 692 nt
Filed under: Rhinopithecus bieti (black snub-nosed monkey)
Lineage: Eukaryota; Metazoa; Chordata; Mammalia; Primates; Cercopithecidae
Description: lncRNA (ENSRBIG00000045350.1)
Source: RNAcentral